This 447-nucleotide ribosomal RNA is filed under the name uncultured bacterium. RNAcentral describes it as "bacterial SSU rRNA". It matches the Rfam family "Bacterial small subunit ribosomal RNA", at positions 329 to 793 of the family's 1533-position model. The record is from RNAcentral.
GACCAGACUCCUACGGGAGGCAGCAGUGGGGAAUAUUGCACAAUGGGGGAAACCCUGAUGCAGCGACGCCGCGUGAGCGAUGAAGUAUUUCGGUAUGUAAAGCUCUAUCAGCAGGGAAGAAGAUGACGGUACCUGACUAAGAAGCCCCGGCUAACUACGUGCCAGCAGCCGCGGUAAUACGUAGGGGGCAAGCGUUAUCCGGAUUUACUGGGUGUAAAGGGAGCGUAGACGGCGAUGCAAGCCAGAUGUGAAAGCCCGGGGCUCAACCCCGGGACUGCAUUUGGAACUGUGUGGCUGGAGUGUCGGAGAGGCAGGCGGAAUUCCUAGUGUAGCGGUGAAAUGCGUAGAUAUUAGGAGGAACACCGGCGGCGAAGGCGGCCUGCUGGACCGUGACUGACGUUGAGGCUCGAGAGCGUGGGGAGCAAACAGGAUUAGAUACCCCUGUAG